Molecule: ribosomal RNA, 506 nt
Filed under: uncultured Glomeromycotina
Lineage: Eukaryota; Fungi; Glomeromycota
Description: partial small subunit ribosomal RNA
Rfam family: Eukaryotic small subunit ribosomal RNA
Source: RNAcentral
CCAAUAGCGUAUAUUAAAGUUGUUGCAGUUAAAAAGCUCGUAGUUGAAUUUCGGGAUUGACGUGAUGGUCGUGCCUUAAGGGGUAUGAACUGUCGCAGUUGAUUUCUCACCUUCUGGAGAAGCUUGAUGUCCUUAAUUGGGUGUCAUGUGGAACCGGGACCUUUACCUUGAAAAAAUUAGAGUGUUUAAAGCAGGCAUUUUGCUCGAAUACAUUAGCAUGGAAUAAUAGAAUAGGACGGCAUGGUUCUAUUUUGUUGGUUUCUAGGAUCACCGUAAUGAUUAAUAGGGAUAGUUGGGGGCAUUAGUAUUCAAUUGUCAGAGGUGAAAUUCUUGGAUUUAUUGAAGACUAACUACUGCGAAAGCAUUUGCCAAGGAUGUUUUCAUUAAUCAAGAACGAAAGUUAGGGGAUCGAAGACGAUCAGAUACCGUCGUAGUCUUAACUAUAAACUAUGCCGACUAGGGAUCAGACGAUGUUAAUUUUUUAAUGACUCGUUUGGCACCUUACG